RNAcentral lists this ribosomal RNA (255 nucleotides) under uncultured bacterium. RNAcentral's name for it is "partial 16S ribosomal RNA". It matches the Rfam family "Bacterial small subunit ribosomal RNA", at positions 524 to 776 of the family's 1533-position model. The record is from RNAcentral.
UACGGAGGGGGCUAGCGUUGUUCGGAAUUACUGGGCGUAAAGCGCACGUAGGCGGCUUUUGUAAGUUAGAGGUGAAAAGUCCAGGGCUUAACCCUGGAAUUGCCUUUAAGACUGCAUCGCUAGAAUCGUGGAGAGGUGAAUGGAAUUCCGAGUGUAGAGGUGAAAUUCGUAGAUAUUCGGAAGAACACCAGUGGCGAAGGCGACUCACUGGACACGUAUUGACGCUGAGGUGCGAAAGCGUGGGGAGCAAACAGG